This 597-nucleotide small RNA is filed under the name Pan troglodytes (chimpanzee). RNAcentral describes it as "retained intron". Lineage: Eukaryota; Metazoa; Chordata; Mammalia; Primates; Hominidae. The record is from RNAcentral.
UUUCACAAGUAUCUGUGCAGGGGGCUAGACUGGCCCUUGAAAGUGCAUACAGGGUCCAUCCCAGAAGCCUUGUAGCUUUGAUCCCCUGAAUGAACAAAGUGUGGACAUGCCAAUACACAUUACUGACAUGUAUGCCCACCUGACCUGCACCCACUCAUGCCCACUCUGCAGGGCAGCGCUCGCCAUUGAAUGACUUCCAGGUGCUCCGGGGCACAGAGCUACAGCACCUGCUACAUGCGGUGGUGCCCGGGCCUUGGCAGGAGGAUGUGGCAGAUGCUGAAGAGUGUGCUGGUCGCUGUGGGCCCUUAAUGGACUGCCGGGCCUUCCACUACAACGUGAGCAGCCAUGGUUGCCAACUGCUGCCAUGGACUCAACACUCGCCCCACACGAGGCUGCGGCGUUCUGGGCGCUGUGACCUCUUCCAGAAGAAAGGUACACGCCCACGCUCCGGAAUGGCCUGGAAGAGAACUUCUGCCGUAACCCUGAUGGCGACCCCGGAGGUCCUUGGUGCUACACAACAGACCCUGCCGUGCGCUUCCAGAGCUGCGGCAUCAAAUCCUGCCGGGAGGCCGCGUGUGUCUGGUGCAAUGGCGAGGA